This 69-nucleotide transfer RNA is filed under the name Anatkina vespertinula. RNAcentral describes it as "tRNA-Gln". Lineage: Eukaryota; Metazoa; Arthropoda; Insecta; Hemiptera; Cicadellidae. The record is from RNAcentral.
UAUAAAAAAGUGUAAGACGCACAUGAAUUUUUGAUAUUCAAGGUAAAAGUUUAAUUCUUUAAUUUAUAG